UACAGAGGUCUCAAGCGUUGUUCGGAUUCAUUGGGCGUAAAGGGUGCGUAGGUGGUCGGGUAAGUCUGAUGUGAAAGCUCUGGGCUCAACCCAGAAAUGGCAUUGGAUACUAUCUGGCUAGAGGAAUGGAGGGGGGACUGGAAUACUUGGUGUAGCAGUGAAAUGCGUAGAUAUCAAGUGGAACACCAGUGGCGAAGGCGAGUCCCUGGACAUUUCCUGACACUGAGGCACGAAAGCUAGGGGAGCAAACAGG
RNAcentral lists this ribosomal RNA (253 nucleotides) under uncultured bacterium. RNAcentral's name for it is "partial 16S ribosomal RNA". It matches the Rfam family "Bacterial small subunit ribosomal RNA", at positions 524 to 776 of the family's 1533-position model. The record is from RNAcentral.